This 49-nucleotide transfer RNA is filed under the name Odontesthes argentinensis. RNAcentral's name for it is "partial tRNA-Ala". The record is from RNAcentral. Lineage: Eukaryota; Metazoa; Chordata; Actinopteri; Atheriniformes; Atherinopsidae.
GAGGCUUUAGCUUAAUUAAAGUGUCUGCGUUGCAUGCAGAAGAUGUGGG